UUCGCCCUGCGGUGUGCGUGAUGCCCACUGUGUUUUGUUCCAACACUUUUUUGAACGGGAGUUCGAUGUCUCUCCCACCUUAGCAAAUGCCCGUCUGAGAUGGGACUUGCGAAGUGGAUGAGCAGGGCACCCACCUGCGCGAGCAGGAUCAAAACCUCGGGUGACACGGCAAUGGCGGGGCGUUG
This 185-nucleotide non-coding RNA is filed under the name Alicyclobacillaceae bacterium. RNAcentral describes it as "6S / SsrS RNA". It matches the Rfam family "6S / SsrS RNA". Rfam says of the family: E. coli 6S RNA was the first non coding RNA to be sequenced, but its function was unknown until recently. It consists of 184 nucleotides that fold into an extended hairpin structure with a large single-stranded internal bulge. The record is from Rfam by way of RNAcentral. Lineage: Bacteria; Bacillati; Bacillota; Bacilli; Caryophanales; Alicyclobacillaceae.